CCUCCGGUUGGCGAAUUUAUACGAAUGAAUUCGGUCGAGAGAGAGAGAGAGAGAGAGAGAGAGAGUAUGUAACUAAGUGUCGCGUUUCGGAACGCUGAAAAUUUCCUAUAAAUUACGAAAAUUCCGUUGGAGAAGGGGAAUGGGGGGGGGAAAGAAUGUGUCGAAAUACGCACUGACCACAGCCCGCGUGUUUGUAUUUAUUCCGGACUCUCGCGUGCCAUCGCGGUGAUAAUGCGCC
Cinara cedri is the source of this 238-nucleotide non-coding RNA. NCBI's taxonomy places the organism in Eukaryota, Metazoa, Arthropoda, Insecta, Hemiptera, Aphididae. The record is from the annotation of a GenBank genome assembly.